UAAAAGAAGCUUGAAAACUUCAAUCAAAGUUAAAGACAAAGUCCGGGAAAGCAUACCAGUUAAAGUGGGGAAAUCAAAGAUCAUAUAUUCGAAUUGCAAAAAUAUAAAACCAAAUGAGAAAACAAUUAUUUCAAAUCAUUAAAAUGAAAGGAAGAAAUAGAUCGGAGGUUGAAAAUUGGAAAAUCUUAGAAAUAUAAAAUAUUAAAGAGAGUUCCAAAUAUGAAAUUUGUAGUGAAAAAAGGUUAUGAAAAAUUAACAAAUAUUUAACAAUGCUCAAAGGCUGGGUAACGUGUUCACCAUAUAUUGACUUAAUUAGCCACUUUAUGAUUAAUUUCCUAGAAAGCAAAAAUACAUUUUGUCAAAAAUUCUUUCCUCAGAGUUUGUCUUAGUUUUAUAUGCAAAAAUACAAUUUGUCAAAAAUUCUUUCCCCAGAGUUUGUCUUAGUUUUAUAUGUAGAGUUGAUGAGACAUGAUAAUUUUAGUUAAGAAUGUCAUGAUUGUGGGGGGAAAACUGCAUAAGAACAGGGACAGGUCUCCUAUUAUUCAUAUAUCAUGGUGCUUGAGACAUUUCCAGCGUCGGAAUACAAUCAAAAAAUCACAUUCAACAAACUAAAUCGUGACUAUAAGAUUGACAAAGUGCUUUCUAUAAGAUAAAGAAAUAAUACAAGAAAACACUCUAAUGCCACAAAGCAUACUAAAAUACUAGAAAAAAUAUACGAGAAUAUAGAAUUGAACAGAGGAGUAGGCUUCAGAAAGAUAAUUAUGGCCCGUCAAAUCAUGUUCUCAAAGAAAGUAUAGUUUGCAUUGAUCGUUUAAUUCAGCUUAUGAUCAUUAGCGUACCCAUAAAUAAAUUAAUAAAAUAGUAAUAUUCAUGCAAAGCAUCAUGGAAAAAGUAUAGAUUUGCUUCACCUUCCAGUUAACUAGCUUCAAGUUUGAACUAAAGAUUUCUGAUCUUCAGUUAUUAAAUGAUAAGACCUUAAAAAAUAAAAUAUGAAGGUCAAGACGGACAAGCGUAUGAAUAUGAGUAUAAACAGUACUAAUAAAAUGAAUGGUUUCAGUAUGUCAAGUUUCCCAAGGUGCAACAUAUUGAACACGAUACAGACGGACAAGCAUUUAAAGCAUAUUAUUUUCUUUGUUUGUUUUAUUAAUAA
Long non-coding RNA from Neltuma alba, 1150 nucleotides. RefSeq lists it as uncharacterized. The record is from RefSeq and is a predicted model, not a curated record. NCBI's taxonomy places the organism in Eukaryota, Viridiplantae, Streptophyta, Magnoliopsida, Fabales, Fabaceae. The transcript is spliced from 2 exons.